UACGGAGGAGGCAAGCGUUAUCCGGAAUUAUUAGGCGUAAAGCGUCCGUAGGUGGUUGGCCAAGUCUGCUGUCAAAGGGUGGGGCUUAACCUCAUAAAGGCAGUGGAAACUGGCGAGCUCGAGUGCGGUAGGGGUAGGGGGAAUUCCCAGUGUAGCGGUGAAAUGCGUAGAGAUUGGGAAGAACAUCAGUGGCGAAAGCGCCCUGCUGGGCCUGCACUGACACUGAGGGACGAAAGCUAGGCGAGCGAAAGGG
Molecule: ribosomal RNA, 253 nt
Filed under: uncultured bacterium
Lineage: Bacteria
Description: partial 16S ribosomal RNA
Rfam family: Bacterial small subunit ribosomal RNA
Source: RNAcentral